AAUAAGUGCAGUUUUGCACUGUUCAUGUCCAACGCAGAUUGUCCAUCUUAUUUAAUUUUUUUUAUGAUUAGUAUUUUUGUUAUUAUUAGAUGAUAAAAUAUGAAUAAUACUUUAUUUGUGACUAAUUUUUUUAAUUUUUUUCAUAAUUUUUUUAAAUAAGACGGAUGGUCAAACAUUGGACACACAUAUCCACGACUGCGUUUAUU
Non-coding RNA from Oryza punctata, 206 nucleotides. Lineage: Eukaryota; Viridiplantae; Streptophyta; Magnoliopsida; Poales; Poaceae. The record is from Rfam.